This 28-nucleotide small nuclear RNA is filed under the name Arabidopsis thaliana (thale cress). RNAcentral describes it as "snRNA_14349". Lineage: Eukaryota; Viridiplantae; Streptophyta; Magnoliopsida; Brassicales; Brassicaceae. The record is from RNAcentral.
AAAUCAGAAGUAGCUGGUUUGUGAUCAC